Molecule: ribosomal RNA, 318 nt
Filed under: uncultured eukaryote
Lineage: Eukaryota
Description: partial 18S ribosomal RNA
Rfam family: Eukaryotic small subunit ribosomal RNA
Source: RNAcentral
CCCUUAGAUGUUCUGGGCAGCACGCGCGCUACAAUGGUCUUCGCAAACGGAUGCAUUCUCGAAGGAGAAUGCCAAUCUUGGAAUCUAUGCCUUGGUCGGGACAGUUGCUUGCAAUUUUUCGACUCGAACCAGGAAUUCCUUGUAAUCGUGAUUCAUCACAUCACGAUGAAUACGUCCCUGCCCUUUGUACACACCGCCCGUCGCUCCUACCGAUCGAAGAGUUAGGUGAAUUGUUUUGAUCGAUAGAUUUGACUAUGGUCAACUCUCGUUGUGAAAUUCUGUGAAUCUGACUGUUUAGAGGAAGGAAAAGUCGUAACA